This is a long non-coding RNA of Astatotilapia calliptera (eastern happy), 841 nucleotides long. NCBI's taxonomy places the organism in Eukaryota, Metazoa, Chordata, Actinopteri, Cichliformes, Cichlidae. The record is from Ensembl.
GCUGAAGCGGUCCCCGGGCCCUCCAGCGAAGACAGACGGAGGCCGAAGCGGCCCUCGGACCCUCCAGCGAUUGGACGAGCCCCCAUAUGUUACACCCCGGCCUAGGCAACCGGGGUGCAACGCAGAAAAAUAAAAAAAAGGAAAAUAAAAAUAAUCCCAAAACGAGAUUUAAAGCAAAACACCACAUUUAUUUACAUCACCAAACACCAGACGUCAAACUAUUUACAACGGGGGGGAGAUCGCGACCAUGACAUACAGAAACACAAGGCUUAAAUACAUAGAAGGAGCAAUCAGGGAAUGGACCACAGGAGGGAAACACAGCUGGGGCAAAUUAGAACUGACGAGACAGGGAAAAAUGUAAUCUGAACACACUAAGAUAACACAGACUUUCAAAGUAAAACAGGAAACACAUGACAGUUUGGUAAAAAACAAAACACUGACAACACCGAAACGUAACAUUUCCCCCCACCCAAAAAUCAAACAUGUAACCCCAAGUGAAAUGUUUGAUCAAACAAACGAAGGCUGAAACGAAGGCAGACGAAGCUGAUGGAGGCUGGAGCGGUCCCACUGACCCUCCAGCAGACGACGAAGGCUGGAGCGGUCCCACGGACCCUCCAGCGACGACAAAGGCUGGGGCGGUCCCACGGACCCUCCCCCCAGCGAAGGCGGAUGAAGGCAGACGAAGCUGAUGGAGGCUGGAGCGGUCCCACGGACCCUCCAGCAGACGACGAAGGCUGGUGCGGUCCCCCGGACCCUCCAGCAGAGGCGGAUGAAGGCUGGAGCGGUCCCUCGGACGCUCCAGCGAAGGCGGAUGAGCAGCUCACUAGCUGCACACACGGAC